GAUGAACGCUGGCGGCGUGCCUAAUACAUGCAAGUCGAGCGAACGGACGAGAAGCUUGCUUUUCUGAUGUUAGCGGCGGACGGGUGAGUAACACGUGGAUAACCUACCUAUAAGACUGGGAUAACUUCGGGAAACCGGAGCUAAUACCGGAUAAUAUUUUUAACCGCAUGGUUCAAAAGUGAAAGACGGUCUUUCUGUCACUUAUAGAUGGAUCCGCGAUGCAUUAGCUAGUUGGUAAGUUAACGGCUUACCAAGGCAACGAUGCAUAGCCGACCUGAGAGGGUGAUCGGCCAAACUGGAACUGAGACACGGUCCAGACUACUACGGGAGGCAGCAGUAGGGAAUCUUCCGAAAUGGGCGAAAGCCUGACGGAGCAACGCCGCGUGAGUGAUGAAGGUCUUCGGAUCGUAAAACUCUGUUAUUAGGGAAGAACAUAUGUGUAAGUAACUGUGCACAUAUUGACGGUACCUAAUCAGAAAGCCACGGCUAACUACGUG
RNAcentral lists this ribosomal RNA (497 nucleotides) under uncultured bacterium. RNAcentral describes it as "partial 16S ribosomal RNA". It matches the Rfam family "Bacterial small subunit ribosomal RNA", at positions 28 to 507 of the family's 1533-position model. The record is from RNAcentral.